CAUGUCCUUUUGAUUAUAAUUUAAGGUCUGACCUGCCCAAUGAGGGUUUAAAUGGCCGCGAUAUUUUGAUCGUGCGAAGGUAGCAUAAUCACUAGUUUCUUAAUUGGAAGCUGGAAUGAAUGGUUGGACGAGGAAUUAGCUGUCUCAGUAUUAUUAUAUUGAAUUUUAUUUUUAAGUUAAAAAGCUUAAAUAGUAGUUGAAGACGAGAAGACCCUAUAGAGUUUUAUAAAUAAAUUUUUAUUUAGUUUUAGGGAUUGAUUUCUUAUUAAUUAUUUAUUUAUUUGGUUGGGGUGACAAAAAAAUUGAAUAAACUUUUUUUAUUAUUAUAUAUUGAUAAAUAGAUAGAUGAUCCAUUAGUGAUGAUUAAAAGAAAAAAUUACCUUAGGGAUAACAGCGUAAUCUUUCUUGAGAGUUCUUAUCGAAAGAAGGGGUUGCGACCUCGAUGUUGGAUUAAAGUUUAAUUUUGGUGUAGAAGCUGGAAUGUUUAGUCUGUUCGACUAUUAAAACUUUACAUGAUCUGAGU
Molecule: ribosomal RNA, 523 nt
Filed under: Sphenoptera tappesi
Lineage: Eukaryota; Metazoa; Arthropoda; Insecta; Coleoptera; Buprestidae
Description: partial 16S ribosomal RNA
Rfam family: Bacterial large subunit ribosomal RNA
Source: RNAcentral